Molecule: long non-coding RNA, 5836 nt
Filed under: Homo sapiens (human)
Lineage: Eukaryota; Metazoa; Chordata; Mammalia; Primates; Hominidae
Description: family with sequence similarity 225 member B (FAM225B)
Source: RNAcentral
CAGCCAGGAGCAGAGAGCAAGGGACGGAGAAUGUCAGCGAUUCCGGGAGAGCCCGCGAGGGGGCGAGCGACCACCGCUCGGCCGCGAGCUCAGCGCUUCCCUCGCCGCUUCCCAACGGCCAGCAGAGGGCGCGCGCCUGGCGCUGAGCCCAACCGCCGCCUCCAACGGGACUGGACCAGACCGGGUGGGACCGGACCGCGGUUUGAGUCCAAGCCCAGCGGUGUUUGCGGCGGGUCCGGGGCCUGGAAGCGCGGGGGCGGCGCCGAGAACGAAACUGGAAAAUGGCCUUCAUUGGAAAAGCCCCAGUCCUCGGGGAGCAGAUCCCCCAUCUCUGGCAGUGCAGUGUGCCUGGGAGCUGUCUGGAACAUUCCGCAACGGUCACUCCUCUGCCCUGCAUUGGCCUUGACCACAUGACCCAGAGGUGCAGGGAGAAGCCUCCCUUGGAUGCUUGGAGUGACUUCAGCUGCUGAGAGUGUCUAAGGAGAGCCGGGAACACCGCACGCUUCCUGCAGAUGGCGGGGCAGACCUGUGUGCAAGAGUGCCUGAAGGGGAUCUCCCGUGGCGCUACCUGGUCCAGGGAGGUCACAGAGAGCUCCUCCACCCUGAGCACAGGGGGUCCCACCAAGGACAAGGACAAGAUUCAGCACCGUCGCACACAGAACAGCUACCUGGAGCCACAGGUCACUUUCCAAAAAGGGAGUUUCCAGGCCAGAAGCCAUCCCUGCAGCAUUGUCUUUGUGCUCCAAGAGAAGCCCUGGCACACACUUCUGCUCAGAUGGAACCACUGUUCCCUCAGUGUCCUUGUCAGUACCAGCUGGUGACUUUCCUACUCAAACCCUUCCCUCACUCUCUGCCUCAUUUUCUCAAGGUGCCGUGUUUGCCUGAAAGGACAUUGGCAGCCAGCAGGGGCGGCGGCUGGUCCUCUAGAUGGGCACGAAUGCCAUUGGCAGGCAAUGGGGCAGACUCCAUGGAAAGAUGCUUCUCUUCCUCAAGGUAUGCACUCAGCGGGGAGACCUCAUUGUCAAGUUCAGAGUUACGCUGCAGACUGCACAGCACCUCGCCUGCUUCUAGGGCCUGCUCCGGUCAGCCCAGGACCCACCACAGCAGGACCCCCCAUCCUGUGCUCACCCGGGGCUUGUCCAUGGCACUGGAAACUCCUUCCUGUUCCUGAUCCCCCUCUGGGCGAGGGGUGGGCAGGGACAUGUGGCUCGUGCCGAGGUCUAAUACUGUGUUCCCAGCAUGGAAGCAGGUGGGGACACUUCCUGUGGCAUGCAGGAUUCCGUGUAGAAAGCUGUGACUGUCACCCCUCCUCCCCACUCAGUUUUGUUAGUGGACCUUUCCCUGGCCCUUCUCUCCUUGGCCCCCUCUUGGCAGGAGAGAGGAGGAGAGGAUCUCACUUUCCCCCUGUACCAGCCACACCCUCGGUCUGCGGGGUUCCCAGCAGCUGGCCAGGGAUGCUCCACACCUGGAGGUCAAGUAACCGUCCCCUCACUCUGGGCAUCGGUGCCCUCUCUGGGGUUGGAACAGGAAAGAAAGCCAAGACCUGUAUGUGGGACUUGAGUUGAGACUCAAUUCUGUAGAGUCAGGGGUGAGGAGGAGCCAGGCCUCCUGUGUGCUCUCCAUACCCCAGAGCCGGGUGCCCAGUUCCAUGGGUCCUGAUGGACAGAAGGGAAGAACGGGGGGGCUGCUGCACCGUGGGUGGUAAUGCAGUGGGAGCCACCUCCAGCUGAAUGCCCAGGGACUCCUGGGGCUGCUGGCCCCGGGUCCCAGCAGUGGGUCCUGUUUCUUCUUUACUCUUGGAAUGCAGGAUCUGCCACACCAAAACGUCCCCUCCACAUUUGGUGAAAUAGGAAGCUCCAUGGCAUGUCUCCAUCUUUCAAGGUGACUGAGAGGUUUAUUUUCAUAGGAGCCUCAGUGGCCUUGUCCGUACCCACCUCUGCACGUGGUUGCAGAAAGUGAAGGAUUGUCAGGGAGCAGGGCAGACAUUUGGUUUAUCUGUGUCAUUGGUCAAAGUUUUGUUUUUCCUCCAGAAGAAAAAGGCUUGUGAACAUGCCACCGUAUUCUUCAUUCCUUCUUUUGGAAAUGUAUGAAGAACGGGUGGCAUUUUGGAGUUAUUGGCCUGUGAACAGCUGGCCCAGAGGAAGGGUUAGAUGUGGGUGGGUGUGGCCGCCUCUGCCCCUCCCCAGCGCAGGUGUGCGUGGGCAGCCCAGGCAGGCGCUCAGGAAGGGUGAGGUGGAGCCCUGCACGCUCUGAGCACAAAGUCCUGGGAUCCCUUAAACCCAAGCACUGCCUUGACAGCAGCCAGCAUGGCUGAUAGAAGAGACACAGAAGUCCAGCUGAUGCCAGACAGAGGGCGUCACUAGAGAGCCGUGCUAGGUGGGGGUCAUUCAAGUUGUCUUGGCGUAUGCAGACGUUGCUUCUAGAGAGUCAGAAGCUCUAUAUGCGUAGUGUUGGAGCAGAAUUUCGGGAUAGUGAUGGCAAGCCUCCUCCCAAGCCAGCUGGGGAGUAUGGGGAGGGGGUGGCCGGAGGAACCUGGCAUCCCCGGGUUAGGACCACAGAGGUGGCUCUGCCUGCAGCUGGGCCUCUGCCUCAUCCUGACUCCCCCUGCUUUGGCCAUGGCUCUUCUUGUCCUUCCUCUUCUCAGUGCAGGAGGACCCUGAAUCAAAUGCCUCAUCCUGGUUUGCAUUUUACCCUCGGAUGAAGCUUGUGGCGAACCCCUGGACUCUGUGUCUCCUGAGUCUCUGCAGACCUCGGGUCCUGGACCCAGAGACUCUUCUCCCUGGGACAGGAGGCACUGGGGUGGGUGGACAGGGGUGGCCUGGGGCACAGUAGCUGACGGGGGGACUUCCUAGUUUUCUGGGCCUUUCCAACUCUGAGUGUGACCUUCCUAUUCUUGAUCACAGCCCCCAACUUCGGAGCCUGCUAGAGCCUGCAGAAUGUGGCUUCAUCCUCUUCCUCUGUGGGAAAAGGCGGGGCCUGGCAGUCCCGCCAAUCUUGUAUAUUUGCUCCCCACCUCGGUGGUGAAUACAUUCUUGGGUGGUGAAUAGGUUCUCUCCUUGCCUUCACUCUAGAAAAGUCCCCUGUUUUGUGAUGUAGGAUGUGGUCAAUGACUGACUCGUCCCUUUGGACCAUAGACGCAGCUCUGAUUUCUGGUGUUCCUGGGCUCUGCACACAGCAGGAGCCACUCUGGGCUCUGAGAGGUGCAUCUUCUGGCUCACUUUCUUCUUGUUGGCUCUUCUCCCUGCGUCUUCUGCCACUGCCCUGUUCUGGGUGGGAGGCUGUCACACUGUGGUGGAGGGUCCCCUCUCCUGCCUCCCCUCUUUGAUCCUUUUCUGUGAGGGUCUGCUGGGGUCCUGUGUGUCGUGCAUUGUUGAUAGAUUCCUGUCGUGCUUGCUGUCCUCCCCAUUCUAAGGGACCUCUGAUUGCCUGUGAGCAGUUUACAGGGUCCUCUCCUGGCCCCUUCACCCGAGGAAUUCCCGCAACGCAUGAGUUUGUGAGGGGCGGAUCCUGGGAGGAUGUGACGUCAGGUGAGAAGGGAGGGCCCGUCCUAGUCCGGUGGGCUCCUCUAACAAAGUGCAUUAGCCUGGGGAGUUACUGACGCUCGAAAUAUGUCGUCAAAGUUCUGAAGGCUGAGAAGUCCGAGAUCAAGAUGCCUGAGGAUUCAGUGCCUGGUGAGGACCCAUUCCUUAGGGCAGUGCCUCUAGCUGUGUCCUCAUGUGGCCGAAGGGGACAAGGGAGGUUGCUGGAGCCUGUUUGAUGAGAGCACUACCUUCCUUCAGGAGGGGAUUAUUCAGAAAGUCUGUCUGGUUUCAGGGCAUUCCCAAAGGCCCCACCUGUUCAUUCUACCCCAUUGGUAGAAUUCCCAUUGGGAAUUAGGCUUCAACAUACAAAUUUGGGAGACACUGACAUUUAGGCCAUAGCGCGUCAAAGGCAAAGUGAGGCUGAGUGUGGAAACCAUCCCAGAAUCUGGAUGUGGCCCAGGCAGAAGGAAACUCAAAGUGAUGGGGUGACCGAUGGUCCCUGGUCUGUGCAGGACUCAGCGGUGCGGAUGGCCCUGGGCACGGUGGCAGUGGCUGUUGGAGGAUGAUAGGGAACAUGUUGGUGGGGGGAGGGUGGAGCCCACUAUGAGUGGCAACUCCCUGGGGGCACAGGAAACAAAGCUAGAGGUGGCUCCCCUCUCCCCUCCCUGCACACAGUGUCACCUCUGUGGUGGCCCUGUCGUCCGCCUCAGUUCACAGGUGUUGCUGUAACAACUCCUGAAAUUACCUUCAAAAGGAGGCUCGUGCAGGUGCCUGCAGGAGCCAGGAGGCCGAAGUGCAUCCUGAGUGUCCGGGGACAGGCCAGCCUGGCGGGGUCCACGGCCCCACAGUCCCAACGACUGCCUCAGAAAUGGGCAGAGAGCAUGCCUGGUUCUAGCUGGCAAGGCCCACAUCUCAGAGCUGUGGACAGUCAUGAAGGGUCCGUGAGCAUGGAGAGGGGGCAAAAAUGACCCAUGAACCUCAGGCCACUGUGCUGCCAUCCAGCCAAGUGCGGUACCAGCCCUUCGGGCCUCGAGAUCCUCUACCCUUCUCUGGGCCUUGCUGAUUUCCUCCUCCAGCCCCUCUGUUUGUGUACGCACAUACACACAUGCACGCACGCACACGCACACCCAGUGCAAUUUCUCUCUGCUCCCUGUACUCCCCAAAAUUCAAUGGGUUCCUCUUUCCUCCUCAGAGAUAUAGUCCUGGGCCCCAUCUCAGCCUGCAGAGGCCUGAACGUUUCCCAGGAUUGUCUUCUAAUUCUCAGGUCCGGCUUUAAAACAAAACCUAAACUAAAACUAAAAUGCUUUCUGCAAAGAAUAAUACACCAACAUAAAGUCCGGGUAUCCUAAGCAUGUGGUGUGUAUGGUGUCUGAAAUUGAAUAUGCUGUGAAACUGCCUGUGUCGAAAUGCAGUGUUUCCCAAGACCUGGAGGCUCUCUCCAGCUGCUGAUUGUGAUCACCUCUCCCGAUCACCGCUGAGCCCUGCAGGUCACCUUCUCCUGACCUAUUACACCACUGAUUGCUUAUGCUGGGCACAAUUUUAUACCCUUGCUGUUGUUCAGUCUAAUCAUCCCUAUAACCCUAUCGGAUCAUUCCCAUAUGACAGAGGAGAAAACCUGGGGACACAGGGGCUGUGUCCUGGCCAAGGCCUUGCUUGCAGCAAAAGGCAGAGCUGGGGUCUAGCCAGGAGCCCCAGCACAGUCCUGUUCUUCCCCCACUAAACUGAGCUGUGAAAUAGAUCAUGGCAGUUUGGAAAACGGGCUAACUGUAUGCUGAGGGAGGUGGUGACGGAUACCUACUUCUUUUCAUGGGAAGGUGAGGUGUCUCCCUGCCCCCCUCAGGUCUAGCCUCUCUCUGUAGCUCAGAACCUUGGGAAAGUGGGAGGCUCAGAGGAGGAAAGAGAUUUACUUGCCCAAGGGCCGCAGCUGCUAAGUGGCAGGUAAGGGACUGUUAUUCUCCUGUCCCUUUCACAGAGGACAGGAGGAAAGUGAGGACAGGUGGUGUACAUGCAUCUUUUCUGCAGCAGGCCCAGAUCAGCUUUGCACAUGGUGCUGACCUCAAAUUCAGCCCUAGAGGGGCCUGUCUCUGCCCUGAGUGAGUAUUGAAGUGCAGGCUUCUUCCCCUUUGUUCUGUCCAUUUCCAAAAAUGUGAACACACACCUCCAACAUGUUUCUGUGUAUAUUAUUGUGUGCAUAGAUACUACCAUUGUGAAAUAUUAUGCAGAUUAAUAAUGCACUAUGCCAUUGAAAAUUUCAAAAGAAAUGUGUAAUGAACAUUUAAAAUUAAAAAAAAAAAAAAAAAAAAAAAAAAAAAAAA